This 119-nucleotide transfer RNA is filed under the name Methylobacterium persicinum. RNAcentral's name for it is "tRNA-Arg". The record is from RNAcentral. Lineage: Bacteria; Pseudomonadati; Pseudomonadota; Alphaproteobacteria; Hyphomicrobiales; Methylobacteriaceae.
GCAUCAGUGGGUUAGUAAAGUUGGGAAACGCUGCGGAAGCGCGCGGAAGCCUCAGAAAUCGUUGAAGUGCUGCCCUCCGAAGGCAAAGGUCACACGUUCGAAUCGUGUCGGGUGCGCCA